Molecule: ribosomal RNA, 341 nt
Filed under: uncultured eukaryote
Lineage: Eukaryota
Description: SSU rRNA
Rfam family: Eukaryotic small subunit ribosomal RNA
Source: RNAcentral
UAAAAAGCUCGUAGUUGGAUUUCGGAGUGGGCCAGUUGGUCCGCCGCAAGGUGUGUUACUGACUGGUUUGCUCUUCUUCGCAAAGACUGCGUGUGCUCUUCAGUGAGUGUGCGUAGGAUCUACGACGUUUACUUUGAAAAAAUUAGAGUGUUCAAAGCAGGCUAUUGCUUGAAUACAUGAGCAUGGAAUAAUGGAAUAGGACUUUGGUCCCAUUUUGUUGGUUUCUAGGGCCGAAGUAAUGAUUAAGAGGGACAAUUGGGGGCAUCCGUAUUUCGUUGUCAGAGGUGAAAUUCUUGGAUUUACGAAAGACGAACAACUGCGAAAGCACUUGCCAAGAGUGU